RNAcentral lists this ribosomal RNA (386 nucleotides) under Rhizobium sp. VA42. RNAcentral's name for it is "bacterial SSU rRNA". It matches the Rfam family "Bacterial small subunit ribosomal RNA", at positions 965 to 1352 of the family's 1533-position model. The record is from RNAcentral. Lineage: Bacteria; Pseudomonadati; Pseudomonadota; Alphaproteobacteria; Hyphomicrobiales; Rhizobiaceae.
AGAACCUUACCAGCCCUUGACAUCCUGUGUUACCUCUAGAGAUAGGGGGUCCACUUCGGUGGCGCAGAGACAGGUGCUGCAUGGCUGUCGUCAGCUCGUGUCGUGAGAUGUUGGGUUAAGUCCCGCAACGAGCGCAACCCUCGCCCUUAGUUGCCAGCAUUUAGUUGGGCACUCUAAGGGGACUGCCGGUGAUAAGCCGAGAGGAAGGUGGGGAUGACGUCAAGUCCUCAUGGCCCUUACGGGCUGGGCUACACACGUGCUACAAUGGUGGUGACAGUGGGCAGCGAGCACGCGAGUGUGAGCUAAUCUCCAAAAGCCAUCUCAGUUCGGAUUGCACUCUGCAACUCGAGUGCAUGAAGUUGGAAUCGCUAGUAAUCGCGGAUCAG